RNAcentral lists this ribosomal RNA (447 nucleotides) under Triticum aestivum (bread wheat). Its description in RNAcentral is "partial small subunit ribosomal RNA". Lineage: Eukaryota; Viridiplantae; Streptophyta; Magnoliopsida; Poales; Poaceae. The record is from RNAcentral.
AUGCCUUCGUCGACGCUCCACCACCUUGGCCGCCUUGGCACACCCCUAUCAGUGUCCAAUGAGCCCCUCACAUCCAAUGGUACACACGGGAUCCAAGCCGGUUCUCCUCCGCCACCGUUCCACACCUCUCCUUCGACCACCGCGCAGGUACCGUCAGCUCCUACAUUACUCACCAUGCCCGACAACUGUUCAGUGAAAUGCCCAUGCUACAUUUUUUGUCCCUUCUUCUUUCAAGCAUUGAAUUUGGAUAUGGAGUACAUAUAUGAGCACUAUGUUGAGUUGUCAGCCAUCUCGCCCGGCGAAGAGGACUACACGGAUGAGACAAUGAUGAUGCAGGUGGUCCUUGCAGAUGUGGAGUGUGCGGAAGAGCGUGUUCUCAAUUUCCACCUCCCACGUCUAGAAAGGAUGUUCAGAGGGCAUUUGCAGUUCUGCAGACAUGUUUUGUAG